RNAcentral lists this ribosomal RNA (696 nucleotides) under uncultured bacterium. Its description in RNAcentral is "bacterial SSU rRNA". It matches the Rfam family "Bacterial small subunit ribosomal RNA", at positions 94 to 787 of the family's 1533-position model. The record is from RNAcentral.
ACCGGCAAACGGGUGAGUAACGCGUAUGCAACCUGCCUUUUACAGAGGGAUAGCUUUCGGAAACGGAAAUUAAUACCUCAUAACACUACGAGACGGCAUCGUUUUGUAUUUAAAACUACGGUGGUAAAAGAUGGGCAUGCGUAACAUUAGCUAGUUGGUAAGGUAACGGCUUACCAAGGCGACGAUGUUUAGGGGACCUGAGAGGGUGAUCCCCCACACUGGUACUGAGACACGGACCAGACUCCUACGGGAGGCAGCAGUGAGGAAUAUUGGUCAAUGGACGGAAGUCUGAACCAGCCAUCCCGCGUGCAGGAAGACGGCCCUAUGGGUUGUAAACUGCUUUUCUGAAGGAAGAAUAAUUACGAUGUAUCGUAAGACGACGGUACUUCAGGAAUAAGCAUCGGCUAACUCCGUGCCAGCAGCCGCGGUAAUACGGAGGAUGCAAGCGUUAUCCGGGAUUUAUUGGGUUUAAAGGGUGCGUAGGCGGACUAAUAAGUCAGUGGUGAAAUCUCUCGGGCUCAACCGGGAAACUGCCAUUGAUACUGUUAGUCUUGAGUUCGGUUGAGGUAGGCGGAAUGUGUAAUGUAGCGGUGAAAUGCUUAGAUAUUACACAGAACACCAAUUGCGUAGCAGCUUACUAGACCGACACUGACGCUGAGGCACGAAAGCGUGGGUAGCGAACAGGAUUAGAUACCC